ACCAAGACCAGAAGGCCUGUGCUUAGAUAAACCCACAGCUCCAGUGACUUGUCAACAAGAAAUCACAGAUGAGGACAUCAGCAGAAUUAGCAUGCUGCCGGUUCCAUUCCUCUUGGUGGUACCUCUCAGAUGUCCUUAAUGUAUGAACACAGACAAAGCACCUUAGAUUUUGCUAAGAUUUAUGAAGCAAAAUUAUGAGGCCAAAGGGCCUCACCAUAACUGUUGGCCUCUAAUUGCCCACAGCCAAUCUGCCAUCACCAACACAGACGUGCUGCUGGGUCGUGUCUCUUACUCUCUUCAUUACACUUACGCAUCACACUAUGCAUGGCCAGAACAGAGGAUGAUUGUUGGUAGGUGAAGUCUGCUGUCUUCAGUGUAAAAGAAAAAAAAAAAAAAAGACACCUUAAAUUUCCCUAAGAUCUCACUUCAAGCUUUGUUGCACUAAUUUCCUACACCUGAAAGCAUAAAGGCAAAUAACUACAAAACUUCCUACUUCUGAUGCUGAAUACAAACUCAGCCUAUUGACCAGGUGUCCCCCUCACUCAUUGUACAUUCUCCUAAAUGGUCACACUUACAGGUUAAUUUUUAGUAUUGACACUUACAUUUGUUUUUAUCUGAAGGUAUCUGAACAGAUAGAAAGAUUUUAAGAGUGAAAAUGGUUUAAAAACUGGCAGCUUUCCAAGGUUCUCUCCUUCAUCUCCAGGGUCUUUUCUCCCAGUUUCUUCUGCUGCUUCGUUGAAAGGAGUGGGCUGUCUUCCAUGCUCCCAACUCUCCUCCCUAAUUUCAACUACAGACCUUUAUAUCUAGUAACUGUCACAGCAAUGAGGUAAAUGAUCCUUUUCUUCUAAGCAUUCCCAAUUCCUGCCUUCACCUAGUCAAGAGCAGAAAACAGAGCUGCAAAAAGCCAGAUUUCCAUCAAGAUGAUGGAAGCAUCAGGCUGUGACCUGUCACAUCCCUCUGAAACCUAUUUUUAAUUGCUUUUCAAAAGAAGCGCUUCCUACAGAACCCCUCUUCCUUGUAUUCAAGGCCUACUCUGUUUUGCCUCCACCCUCCCUGAUGUGUAACAUAAUCUCAAACAUUAUAGUCAUGCAUACAAUGCUAACCCUAUUUCUUGGGUUAUCAGUCAUUUUCCUCCACUUAGUAGGUGCAGAGUUAUCUUGAAUUCAGUGCCGCGUCCCUAUUCUUCAGAAAGUCAUCAUAGUCUCUUAGGAGCAAGUAGAGAACAAAGACCAUCUUGUGGGGCAUCUCACAGUCUGUUAAUGCAAGCUGUCAGAGGGCUUUUACUGCAAAGUGGAUAAAGCAGAGACAUGGUAUAGGUGGAGCAGCAGGAAGGCACUUAGCAGAUGUCAUGCUGGCUGAGAACCUGUGGGACAUCUCACUCCUCAGACCCCCAGUGCUGUGCCCAAGGGUGACCACAGCUCCCCAGGUUUUUCACUGCUCUUCCCCUCUCCAUUCAUACCUUAAAGUGAUUCAAAACCAAUUGCCUUUUUCUGUUUUAGAGAGAGCCACGCUGUUUCCUCAUUCCUUCCUGUCCACUUGUGAUGCGUUGAUGGCUAGACUAAAUGAUCUUAGUGAUCUUUCCCAACCUUAGUGAUUCUAUGACCCCUAAGACCUCUAUGACCAACUUCAGACCCCACACAGUCUGAGGUCCUUUUUGGAAACAGUUAACUCUAACUAAGCCAAAGCUUUUCCUUACUGUCCAGCAAAGUAGCAAGGAUCUGAGAAAACAUCUAGGCAGAAAGUCAUUUAUUUGAAUUCUUAUUUCCAUGCCCACUGAAGAUUUUCAGUUUUCUAUCUGUGCCACAACUUCCUGUAAAUAAAAACAGUGGGAGCAGGAGAAGAGCCUUCCCAUCUGAUCACAACCUUUUCACAACCUUGUUCUGGGACUACGCAUAACUAAAGCCAACGAUGCCUCACUGUACCUACUAGUAAGAAGGCACAAAUAAUACAUGCAAAAUUUGGUUUGCAAACAGCAUCAGCUUACAGUAAUGUGAAUAUUCUGUUUAACAAAAAGGCUGUCUAAAUGCAAACUUUGGAUUCAAAGUAGCCCACAAGAACUGUUUAUGUCAUUACUUGUGUAACUUUAUCGCAGGAUGGAGAGUAGCGCAGUAAUAGCAGGGCGCCAAAGUUUUUGGCUACAGCAAAUGAGAGCAAACCCAAACGCAGCAGACACAGAAAUGAAGGAAAAGAGCUGCUCACCUUUGGAAAGCCUCAGCUGUACAGGGAUCUCCAGCCAGUGAUGCCCUCUCCUCCACUGCUAACCCUUAAAUGAGGUCUGGGAAGGGGUGGAUCCUGGCUGCACCCCUUCCAGUCACUCAGGUGCAUUGCAAGCACCUGAGCUCCCCUGGGUUGACCCUGCCUUCCCACCAGGUGCUUAAUCACGGCUUCAGGCUCUGACCUAGCAUCUCAGCUACAACUUACCAGCUGCUGCCUCUGUUCACUUAAGUGGAAUAUUUCUAUCAAAACAAUGAUAAGUCUUCCAGAAAGAAAGGCAACAUUCACAUUUCAUCUUAUUUAUGUGUAUAUGAUGCACAUCAAUAGAAAAUACUGAUGUAUAUUAUUAAAUAAGUGUACAGCUACAGCUUGGCUGAGGCAUUAAAACUAACACCUUCACAAACUGAAGGCAGUUCUACGCGCUUUUAUCUGAACCUGUAUAAAUUAUGGAAUAGUUCCACUGUAUGGUAGGGUUACUGAGUUCUCAUAAUCCAUAUUAAACCUGCAGCUCAAAGAGUCAUACAACAACUUUGCACUUCAAUAGUUUUCAGAAAACAAGAUUUCCAAGCCGCAAGAGAGAGAACCACCUUUCCUGCACACACAUUUCUGAAAUAAUAGGGCACAGGCUCAGAUGGCAGAGACUGCUUUAGUGAAGCAUGGGCAGAGGUUGCCCAGAGAGGAGGCAGAAGACCCACCCCUACAGACACUCAAGGCCAGGCUGGAGGGAGCUCUGAGCAACCCGAUGUAACCUUAGGUGUUCCUGUUCAUUGCUGGGGAGUUGGACAAGGUGGCCUUUAAGGGUCCCUUCCAACUGAAAUGGUUCUAUGAUUCUACCCCAUGUGCCACGAUGACUGAUUAACCUGGUCCGACUCCAAGCUCCUUCCAACAUGGAACAACAUAACAUCACCUGCAAUCCCCUCUGCAGCUGAGAGCUAUGCUGCCCCAUGGCUCUGCUUAUUCUCCACAUUGCUGCUUGGAAAGUUCCAAUAUCAUUACAUCAACAUCAUCAUGUGAAAGCCCUCCCUUUUUAAUUUUUGCCCUCUAUCCAUUUAACUUUAGGACUUAGAGUUCUACAGAAAGGCCAGGGUGUAUCUUCUGAUCCUGGCCUUGACGAUAAAGGUUUGGGAGUUUUUGUUCAUAACUGUUACUUGCUGUCUGCCUCAGAAAAUUCAUCAGCCCUAAUUUUUUUCUUGUUGCAUUUGUUAUUUCUCACCAAUGGGGGUGUAACACAGCUCUAUAUAUGGUCAGGAAAGAUCUUCAAGUAAAUUGAAAGAGGUACAGGAUGUUUGCUCACUGACAUCUCAAACCAAAGCCAGAGAGUGCUCUGCUAGAGUUUGGCUCUUGUAGCGUGAGCUGUUACCAUUUGGUGGCUAAUGUCUAUUAAUUAACAGGACAGAGUUGUGCAAAAUCAGUCCUGUCAGGAAGCAAAUAAAGCACAAUAGCUUUGAAAAUGCUCACAACGAAUCCUUGGAGUGGCCUGCAGAUGAUGAGCAGCCAGCAAAGCACAGAGGUCUGCCAGGGGCCCAGGCUCCCAGCAGCAGGGCCUAAGAAACCCAUUACUGUGAUGCGGACACACAAAGCAACUGGAAGUCUAACAACUCGGGCCUCGUCCUCAGUGGGGCUCACAGGGCCUGCUCCAUCAGAACCCCCUGCACCUCACUCACUAGAGAAUCAAAGGAGCAAACUUCCAAGAAACUACAUUGUACACCAGAGACAUUACCACAGCAUGCCUGCUACACUGCCAGACUUCACUGCCCCAAGGCAAAACCAUACUAUUUCCUGGGACAUAACAGAACCUACAGAUUAAAAAUUAGUGUUUUGUAACUUAUAUAUUAAUAAAAUUAUAUACUUUAUGAAGGCUGCUUCAAAAGCAAUGCCUCUUAGUUUAUGUUCACCCACAACACCAGAGGCAUAUGCUGAUCAGAUGGCAGAAGAGGUUGAAGCUUCCUGCCAAUAACCCAUUACAUGUUGUUGCCAUGUGACAGAUGGCAGCAGAGGGGCAGUCUGACACAAUGGCAUCUGACAUGGAAGUGCUCAUGAAGAAAAGGUGCGUCACUGAAUUCCUCCAUUCAGAAAAAAUGGCACCCACUGACACUUGUUGAACACUGAUGGAGACCAAACAGUGGAUGUGAGCACAGUGAGGCAGUGUGGGUGAUGCGGUUGACAGCAGGUCACCUCUGGUGUAGAUGUUCACGAGCACAGCAUGCAGGUUCUUGUUCAUUGCUGGCAAAAAUGCAGAGCUAGUGGUGGUGGCUGUGUUAUCAAAUAGUGUUUUUGUAGCUAAUAAUUUGCUCUAUCAAAUAGUGUUAUUGUGCUCUUUAUAUCUCUUGUACUUUCCAUGGAAAUAAAUAGAUGGCAUUACUUUUGGAGUGACCUACAUAGUACACACUAAAUCAUCCAGCUCGCUAGCUGACCUUCACCAUAUGCAGCACAGGAUGCAAAAAGCCCUGAGAAACUCAGUGAGUGCUGAGAGUGGUUAGACCAUGAGUGUUGCUGUGGUUUUUCAGCACCAGAGAAACAAAGGCAGACAGCUGAAAGCCUUGGUAUAGUGCACUGUGGCCUGCUGAAGUGCAUACAUGCUCUACAGUCCAGGCACACUUGAUGGACAUAUAUGUAGGAACAAGAUGGAGGGAGUCAGAAAGCACAACUGACACUGGUCCUGGCAGACCAUUGGUAUGCUUGUGGUCACGUUCUUUUCUGGCAAAAGAGUCUUUGCAAAACUUUACAAAGCUGCAAUAUAUGCGUUGUGAGCAAUUCCUCAUUGUGAGGAGAAGUAUGGGGAAAAACACAAGACGUGUUUUUGUAAACCACUGAGAUUAGAUAAAGCAAACGAGAAAGGAAAAUAUCAUGACUCAAAAAACCCACUCCAGAACUCGAAAUGUACCAACAGUACAGUUUCUAUGGAGAGAAAAGAAGAGCUGAUCUUGCACCUUCUUUUCGCCUCCAGUAAUGAAGCAAUUCCUCCUUCAGGCUCAGGCAUGUGAGUUAGCUCCACAGCCUGUGAAACUACUGUCUUUUAAAGAACAGAAUCAGGCUUCUGAGGAGGAAGAACUAGUGUAAUUUCUCUGAGUUCUUUUCAUCCCACCCAUUCCAUGAUGAAUGAAAUGAAAACACUUCCCUGGAGGGUCCCCUAGCACAGCACUCCCAGAGGUGUUUUGCCCUCAGUUUAGAUAGUCAUGGUUUGAGGUAGGGAGACACAGAAUGGACUUUCCAUCAGCACAGAAGGAAUGAAUAUGUUCAGAGAUUUCUGGUAGCCCAGGAGAAGCAGCGCUUGCUCCAGGACUUCCCAAGGUCCAGAGCUGAGGGGUCAUUUAGUGUUAGGAAGGUAUGUAACUUCCUUACCCAAACUAUCUUCUUUGUACCUUCCUUUUUAUCGACAAGAUAGCUUGGCCAGUCAUAAGCACAGCUAACUUGGAGUCUUCCAGUUAUUACUUCUCUUCAGAUUUUAAUUUGAGAGAAUCAGCUUACAGCCUGUUAAAUGCUUUACUCACUGCCUUGCUGAGAUUCAUUUGAUUCACUGAUGGGUUGUGAAGAUUUAUUGAUUUUUCUGCCAUUUUAUUAUAUUACUCUUAUACAAUAGUCAAAAGAUGAACUACAGUCAAGUGGCUAACACAAUUAGCACACUGGCAGAGGUAAAAGCAGGCAGGUUAGACCUGGCAGGUUAGAAUGCCUAGGGAAAGGCAUUCUGGAGCCACCAAAGGAGAUGGCUGAGGCUCUAAUACAGGUGCUUGUGGUUGUUUCUGAGGCUCCAUCCAUGACAGGUGGGAGAAACUUUGAAGCCAGGAAGAAGACAAAAUACCAUGUGCCACAUUCCUCUUUAAAACAGGAAAAGAGAGAACCCAAGGACUGGUGGGCACUGGCUUCAGUAUACUGAAAUGAAUGAUGAAAGCUUGGAUAUAAAAAUAAGAAAAGUGACUAAAAACAAACAGAAAUGUAUAGAAAAUUUUAAAUCUCAGAGUUUUGUAUCAUACCUGUGAUUGUGGAGGGUAGGUAAAUCCAAAGUUUCUCAAUACCUGGGUGGGACAGCACUGCUGACCACGUGACUAAGUAACUUUACAUGUGCAGUCUGCCUGAGAAGAGAUGGGCUGCUGGGAUGUUUCAUCUCUGAGACCUCAGCAUUCCCCUUUCCUGCUGCUUAGUGCAAUCACUUCACUUGAAUGGAACGAAAAGACAGUCAGUAAAUUAAUUCCCAAUUUUUUUUUUUUCAUUAAAAUAGCUCCAAAUUCCACACAGCUUCUGUUCCAUGCAGAACACAGACAAAGGAAAAGGCAAGGGGAAAUCCCAUCAGGGACAAAGGAGACAAAUCUGGAGCAAUUAAAAUAGACAUACUUUAAAAAUGUCAGAAUCAGGGAGAAGGAGGAAAAGACUUUUAGAAGGCAGCAAAUAAAUAAAUGUGCAAGCGUGCAACUAUUAAAAUAUUUGAUGAAAUAAUAUUGUUUUUCCCAGACUAAAGAGUGAUUUGUUCACCUUAAGUAGCAGUAACCAAAACAAAAACCAAAAAAACAACAAAAAAGCCCUCUGACCUUCCCUCCACUUUAAGCUCAGUUUGGCUAUUUAUAUCAUCAUAUUUUUAACACUGCACCUAUUACAGCAGUUCUGCCACAGCCUUCUUAUUCCAGUGACGCCCUGAAGAAGGGAAGCUGGCCAAAAGAGAGUAAUAAAACCCGUAUCUUCUGUUCUGUUCAGCCUUAUUAUUGGUGGGCUUAUUUCAUAUCAUUACUUUUCAGAAAUAGAGGGCCAAGUUCCCUCUUUAGUUUCUUUGCCACUGUUUCUCAAGAACUUGCAAACUUGACCAGAGUAAGGUCACUACAUUCCAGACUGCCUUCAGUCUUAACUUCCAUGAUAAGCCCUUCCACACUGGUGAGCACCAGGUCCAAUAACACUUCAUCUCUGAUUGCGCUGUCCAAUAUCUGGGUCAGGAAGUUAUCCUCAAUGGACUCUGGGAGUCUUCUGGAUUGCUUUCAGCUCACCAUGUUGUCUUCCCAGCAGGUGGUUGAAAUCCACCAUCAGGAUGAGAGUCUGCACCUCUUGCAGUUGAAGCAAGAAGGCCUUGUCAACAUGUUGUCCUUGAUCAGGCAGACUGCAGUAGACCUUGAGCACCAGAUGUCCGUUUUUGGUCUGAUCCCUGAUUUAAAGCCUCAAUUUCAAGCUCCCAACCUGGUCAUGGCUGUUUCUCAGAGGCAGCUCUUGGCAAUCUACCCACUUUGCAACAUCGAGGGCAACUCCCCUGCUCCUCCUGCCUUGCCUAUUAGUCGUAAAAAGCCUGUAGCCCUCAGCUGCCAGUUGUAUGAUUCACCCCAGCAUGUCUCUGUGAUAGCAAUUAGGUCACAGUUUUCUAAUUCCACCACAAUUACCAUCUCCUCCCUCUCAUUUCCCAUGCUGCAUAAUGGGAUAAAUAACACUAUUAGAUAAACAGAUCAAUAAGAAUGUUAGCACAGUGUCUUUACUGAGGACAAGCACUGUCUCUCUCCUACUUACAGUGACCAGAGCACCCCCAAACCUGACUGAGCAUCUCUAGUCUUCAUGUCAAAAGACAGCUCUGUCAGGGAAUGCCUAGUAGAAUGAAAACUUGUGAACAUAACUGUGAAGUAUGCAGAAAUAGUUCUUCAGAUGUAAUAUUUGGCAACAAACGUUUUUAGAGUUUCAGCUCACUUUCAGCCUAGAAAACUUGUAUUUCUUUCACCAAGUAAUUGUUUUGAUAGAGCUUCUUAUGCUUACUUCAUUCAGCAUUUUGUGUGCUAUUCGUGUUAGAAAGACAUUUUUCUGUUCUCAGCAGAUGGAGAAUCCUGUAGCUGAAUACUUUUGGAUGUUAUCCCAGGCCUUUUUUCUCCCUUUCUCGUUCCUCUUCUCUUCUACAUCUCCCUCAGACUGAAGCAAGCUUUGCACAGAUUUGGAGGAUUUUUGAUUUCACAAUGUGUUUGAAAAAUAAGAGUGACUUGGGAGAUACAAAACAUACAAUAUGAAGCAAUGUCUUCAGCUAUGAAAAUCUGAAAGCCAAUGCCUUCUUAUGGAGUGUCUACAUUAAUCUGGUUCAAGAAGCUACCAGUUGCAUCUAUAUUCCAGUUAUUCCUACAGAUGCAUUCUUAUCAUGACUCCAAAGAAAAAACAAAAGAAAAUGAAUACAUUUCCAAUUAUUUCCUCUUCUGCUUUUCCUGAGAUGUCCUAUUGUUCACUUGUAUCUUACCUUCACUCCUCUACGACUAACAAGACUACUUUUGGGUUGGAGUUACGCUUGAUUUUCCAGACUUUGAUUUCUAGAUUGGUGUUAAUUCAUGUAAGUGUAGUGCACACUACAGAUACAUGGAAUAGCGAGUUAACAACAACUGCCAGAGUUUUAUUCUUGCAGUGGUGACAAUGACUCUAACUUUUUCCUUUAACACCUUUUGCAUUAGGAUCCAGCUUCACAACUCUCGCAAAGGCACAUGUCUCUAAGGGACUCAAUGGAAAGAGCCUGAACUGUCCCAGCUAAGCAGCUAGUCCUGCAUCUUAUAGAUCAAAGAAGUAGCAUUUUCCUCAAGUAUUCCCCUCAUCCCCUUUUAUUUCUAUGCAUUUCCUUAUGUCAAACAUUUUCUCACAUGUUUAGAGCAUCUCAGUAUCUCACACAUCUGUAUUACUGAAUACAUCUGUACUCACCUCAGGUUUCCCAAGCUCAUUUCCUCAGAUGUUGCUUCUGAGUGUAAGAAUUCUGUGUGCAUUUUAAAAUUAAAAAAAAAAAAAAGUGAGAAGUCAUUUUCCCAUCACCUCAAUGUACUUCACUUAAUGCCCCAUUCACUCAGUUCACUGAGGUAAAUAUUCUCUUCAAACUUCCUUAAGAGUUACAGGGGACAAAUAUUUUUUUCCUCCAGUUAAAUGACUCUGAAACUAACAGCUUUUGUGUUCACCUUUCAUUACAGAGGAAAGCCACGAGAUAUCAAUCCAUCUACAGAAAAAUAAAACCAAGUAAGUGAGGAGAAGGGGGAGGAUGUCGGGACAAGGAGCCAAGAAAAUAUUUCUUACUUGAGCACAUGAGAUAUUUAGUAAUGUGUUACAGCUGUUCGGGAGCUUUAAAUGGAGUUCCAUCACUGAGAGAUUACACCAUGCUGUGUUUGACUUUCCAGUGAGUGCAAGGCCAUUGUCUGUACAGGGAAUCUUUCAUGGCCAAUCUUUCAUCCAGGCAGCCUGACCAUCCAGUCAGUGUCCAUGCAGUGCCCCUCUGCUGUCUCUUCUCCACAUCUUGAAUGUCACUUAUUUCUCCAGCCCCUUGCGAAGAAGUCCCACAGACUGGCCACAUACAUCAAACUGAACCCCAGAAGCCUCUUAGACAUUAUUUCAGUGGUCAUCAAUUAUUUGCACCCCGUAGUGGUUGAUCAAAUCUGACUACAGGCUGAGUUUUGACCAUCUGGCUUGCAUGAUAUGAUCAUAACAUUGUUUUUAGCUAUUGAAAUCAUGCUGUGUAGAUACUGAAAACAAUCCUACCAGCAUACAGAAUACACUCUGCAGGGGGUUUCUGAUUACCAACAACAACCUUCUCUUACGUCCCAUAGCCCCUAAAAUCCUAAAAAUAAAAGGUGUGUAGAGCGAAACGAGUACUGUAACAUUCUUUUCAAGUAGAUACUCCCACAUACUCAUGCAGUUUCCUCCUUCAGAAAAGUGCUUUCUGUGAAAGGGUGCUCCCAGUUGCCCUACAAACCAAGGGUAACCAGGACUUCUAGCCCGUGUUCUUUGCUCUUUCCCUUGCUCCUUGGUUCUCCCUAACCAGUUAGAUUUCUUUCCUUUUUCCACAUAUCUCAUUGGUUAUGAAUACACUGUAACAAAAACAAAAACCAGAAUAAGCAAGGAAAAGCUACUGCCUAUCACAGUACCAUCCGUACCUUUCUGGAGUCACACUACGUAUAGAAGAAAGGACAGAAAUAAAAAAGAAGAGAAAGCAGUGAUUCAGAGGUUAUCAAUGACCACCACCUGAGGGAGCAUGGGGAAAUACAGAGAAGAUUGCUGCUCUUCAGAAGCAUACUUCUUAAGCAUAAUGGAGUAUGUGCACUGCUCAAAUGCCUACAAAAGCUGAUUAAGGAGAAGAAGCCUGGAAGGAGGACACUGUAAGCAAUUACUAUGCAUUAUGAGGAGAGAAAAAAAUACCCACAAGUUUUCCUCUCUAUUUACAAAUGUUGUACUCAGUAGCCUAUAAUUUAAAGAGGAGUCUUGCCCUCCCCAGACCCUUUAGCGUCUUUGUAGCCCUCCUUUGGACGUUCUCCAGUAGCCUUGUGCUCUUCCUAUAUUGCUGCAGCCAGUGCUUGAGGUGAGGCUGCACAGCACAGAGUUGAGUAGUUGUGGAGUCACAUCAAACUUACUGGUGGCGUAUGCUUAUUAUAAGAAGAUUCUGAGCAAGGAAGCAUAUUCAGAGAGGCAGCCAAGGCCCGGCAGUCAGAGAUGUUGUGAAUGAAAGGGGUGCAUUAUCCAGCUCCCUGCACUCAGCUGUGGCAUGCUGGCUUAGAACAGAAGGAAUAAUUCAUUCAUUUGUAGAAAGCCAAUGUGGGUCCAAGCUGGGGAAAGGAUGCGUAGAAAAUAACCUGUGGCUAUUUUAAGCUUAACAGUUGUUUCUCCACUGGCUGAGUAGCACACUGAUGAGAACAACCUUACACCAGCUGACUUCGGCCCACUAGGAAGCACAGCAGGGAAACCUCUGAGACCAAGUAAUUGUUUCCUUCAGUUCAGUGUUUCAUGUUCAAAAGCAGCAACUCGAAAACCAUUAUGUAACCCUCCUGUUUAUUCCUGCCUUUUAAACUUACCCAAGCAUCUCUACCUGCAGCUACUCCACUGAUGUUAAUUCUGGGGAAAGGGGUUGGAAGAACACCAGGGAAUGACAUCCUCAAUAUGUCUGGAGAGCAGUUCCUGAAUAGCUUUCCUUUCAGAGCAAGAUCAGUGGCCUUCCCCAGAGAUGAAUGAGAAACAUCAGAGCUGAUGGGGGUGGCUCACCCCCUCUGCUCACACACUCCUUGACUUCUUUCCUGAGAUUAAAAUGAAGAAUCGCAUGGCAACUCUGAUAAGUGUGUUCCUUGUGCUGCCUUAUUUGCUGAUGGCAACAUGCAAGAAGCUCAGCUGCUGGAGCUUGCUGUAAUUCCAGGAAGGCAGGUUCUGCCUGUUUGUGUAUUUAUUUAUUUAUUUUCGCUACCAGGCCACUCCAAUUUAUUACUUACCAUAUAGCAGUGUGGGAGACUUCUGGGAGCCAUCUGACAUGUGUACACCUUCCACUUCACCUUGUUGAGCACUGUAAGAAUGGGAAAGGGUAUCAGAGAAGAACUCAUUCUCAUACUUAAUGGAAUUGUCACAGUUACUGAUAUGAACAACCCUGUGCCUGAUCAUUCAGUCCUGGCUGCUGUUUCAACCAUGUUCCACUGACACCCCUCAGUUACAUGGGAGCACCACCACAGCUGUGCUUUUGUGUGCAGCUGUGGUUAUUGAUGCUUGUGCAGAGGUUUGUGAUUAAGGCCUGGAGAAUUUCUCUCUAGAAAACAAAAAUCAGACAUUUGGAGAUAUUUCUGAAAAGGUAAUUUGAUUUUACGUUUUCCCCAUCUUUAAAAGUAAGUUAUCUCUGCUGAUAUAUGUCUUUUAAUCAGAGAAGCACUGUUACCUUUCUUACUGUUUAUCACUUACCAGGGCUGAAUUUGAACUGAUGAGAACAGGAUACAGUGUUUGAUAUCAGCUUACAGUACAGCUGAAAGAUCAGCUGCCAAAAUGAUCUGCAUAUGCACACUUGAUUUGAUGAGCUCACAUCUUUCAGUUCAGAGAAGGGUAGUGCCUAUUUGUCAUUAUUAUUUUGCAGAUUGCGUAGAACUGUCACGUGCUUUGCUUUAUUUCAGCAGUACUUGAAUAAUGGUAAUGCCUGACUUGAUAAAAGGUGACUCGUUCAAUAUUAACAUUAUCUAGACAGCAUUUCCAGUAAGCAUCCUGACCCACUCUCUGUUUUGUAUUGAGAACAUUUGCUUUUUCCCCAGGAAAAAAAACCAAAUCCUUAUGAAAAUAAUGAUUUCUGCAAAAUGUUUUGAUUUACAAGUUUCAUUUCAUAGAAAUGUGCACAUACGAAAGAUAAACGCAUUGAAAUGAAUAUAGCUAUAUUGAAAUGAAUGUAGUUAAGAGUAAUAGAGCAAGAAUCAGGAAAUACCCUGAGAGCUGCACACAGGCAUUACUGUGGUCUUUCAGGAAACACAGGGAGAAGUUACAGAAGUGACUUCAAAACUGACACCACUUUAUAGAGAAUAAUCCAAUUUCUGCAGAUCUCAACCAGCCUAACGGAGCGAGGGUGUAUGUAGCAGUCAGUUAUAAAGCAUUAUAAAGCAGUCAUAAAGCAUUUCUGGUAGUACGGAACUGUUUUGUGUGGUAGAUAUUGUUUUAUUGCAUUGAUUUACUUCAUUUAGUUAGCUCUCCUGCUAAAGAGAAAUCACUUUGUGUGUUGAAAUCCUUCAACAAUGUUUAAAUAUAGACCAGAAUUCUGGCCUUGCUGAAUCCAAUGGCAGAUUCCCAAACUAGAUUAUAAUAGGACAAAUAUAUCAUUUACAGAUGGAAAAUAAAAUCCAUUCAGCCUUUAGCAAGCUGAAAAGCUCCUCUGUUUUGUGUCUGACAUUUUUAUGGAGCUGGAAGAUAAAAACCUGAGAAGAAUAACAGUGAAUCAUAUCUAUCCUGUGUGGCAGAGCAACAAGCGAAGCCUGUGAGCUCUGGACAACGUGCGAGGCUCAGGGCAGUGCAGGUGAUGCCUACUCUCCUCACUGCCUGGGUCCCAACGUCUCACUGGGGUCCUGCAGGAGACCAGGGGUGCAGCAAUUGAAGAUUGCUCUACAGCUAUUCGACAUAUGCUCUCUGAAGCAAGGGAGGGGAAUUGCCCAAUUUACACCAAUGGACGGAGCAUCAGCAAGAUCAGUGAUCAUAACCAGAGUGAAACCUAGUGAUCUGUGGUGUUGGCUCCCUAGGAGGUGUUUGGAAAUACCAUUCCUCAGAAGUUCUGCAUAGCAGGUCUAGGCAUGGCUUUCAGCAUCACAGCUUUGGUAACUUGAGUAGCUGCUGGGGAAGAGAAGGGCAGAAAAGUGUAUUUGGGAGGGGAGAAGCAGCCUGGAUGAACCAUCUCAUUUCCUAGUGAGAGCCAUGGGUGUUCAACCUUUUGGUUUGUCUGGACUGCACUGAGUGAAGAAGAAUUGUCUUGGGCCACAUAUAUGUAGACUGGUCUGGAAGUAAUGGCACUUAUUUAUCUCCAUGGAAACUAUAACAGAUACAAGGAGAAAAAUAACAUUAUUCGAUAGAGCAAAUUCUCAGCUACAAAACAUUGUUUUUCAUCAUAGUCACUACUGUUAGCUCUGCAUUUUUGCCAGCAAUGAACAACAGCUGCAUGCUGCGCUCGUAAACAUCUAUACCAGAGGUGAGCCUCUGUCACCACUGCUGAAAUACAUCACUUGUUGCCUCACUGUGCUCACACCCACUGUUUGGUCUCCAUCAGCGUUCAGAAAGUGUCAACAAAUGUCAGUGGGUGCCAUAUUUUCUGCAUGGAGGAAUUCAGUGACACACCUUCACGAGCACUUUCACGUUGGAUGCCAUUGUGUCAGACUGCCCCUCUGAUGCCAUCUGCCACACAGCAACAAAACAUAAUGGGAUACUGGUGAGAAGGUUCAGCCUCUUCUGCCAUAUGACCAACAUCUGCCUUUGGCACUGUGGGUAAGUAUCAGAACAUUGGAGGCAUUGCUUUUGGAGCACUCUCCAUAAAGUAUAUAAUAUAGCUAAUGUGCUUCAUCCUUGAAAAUGGUUGUUCACAAAUGUAUGUACUGCCAAAAAAAGGUAAUGUGAAUAAGGUGAGACUGUGAAGUGAGGGGUAUUCCUCUUUCGUAAGAGAGGGCUUAUGGAUGUCUGGUAAAGAGAUACGAUCGCAUAUUUCUUGAGUUGAAUGUCUGAUUGCAACUUGAUACAUUCCAUUUGAAAAUUCACAACUGAAAAUAGAAUUACAAAUAUACCAAAAAACUGAUCACCUUUUUUCAGCUAUCUUGAAACCUGCUCUCAAACGCAGCCCACGGGCAGAGGGUUGGCCAUGCCUGUAAGUCAGCAGUCUUCUGCAGCACUCUGCCUUCUUACAGUCCCCUCUCAGCAUCAACGCGCAGGCUGGGCGUUCAGAGAGAAAAAGCUUUUGAGCACGUUGAGUAGAAAACAAGUUACUGAAAUAGCACUGGAGGUCACAGAAAAAGCAGUCUGUAAGCUAACCAGACUGCCCUGUUGCAAAGGCUUUCAGGUUUUCGUAGCACUGACCAAGGUACCGCUGGAGAGUGGGGUCUGUGGAGCUCAUUGUGAGCAGCUUGGCAGUGCCGUGCGGUUUCUGGCAGCUGGACAAAAUGCUUGCGGUUGGCAGGCCUCUCGCAAAGCCAUGGAAGGAAAGGAUAUAAAAAGAACACUGUUUCUGGAUUAACCAGAGGGACGGGCUGCACUGGCCGGUCACCACACAGUGCAGGAAGGAGCGGGCUGAGCUCCCUCAUUCACCACAUCCGCUGCUUCUGUGGAGCCAGAAGGAGGCAAUCAGGGGCCGCUACCAGAACAGAAGGCCUACAUGAAUCUUCCAAAGUAGCUGAUGUGACGUGAGACUCGUUUGGAAAGUGCUUUUCGUUUUAUAUACAGCUCAGCAACAGAAGCUUUUACUUUAAUCUUCUCAUUUCAUAGUGCCUGGGGUAAAAAAAAAACAAACAACAAAAAAAACAAACCAGCCUCAGCCGAGUGCAGCUUCGGUUUAAACAGAUUGUAUGGCAGCUCCAUUGGGUAUUUAGGUCCAGUUAAUUCCUUAUAACAUGAGAAAAUUUCUAGUGACAUCUGGAUUCCCUUUUUCCUCCUCCAGGCACACUCAGUCUGUGCUCUCACCAUGAAAGUUCAGAGCAGGUUGAAAUAUCACCUGCAGGAGUAAUUUUUGGUUGAAAAAAUAAAAGGGUUUUUUUAAUGCCAACCGUUACCGGAACAGGCUGCCCAUGGAGGUGGUGGAGUCACUGACCCUGGAGGCGUUCAAGAACUGUGUGGGUGUGGCACUGAGGGACAUGGUUAGUGGGAAUGGUGGGGGUGGGCUAACAGUUGGACUUAAUGAUCUUAGAGGUAGGUCUUUUCCAGCCUUAAUGAUUCUAUGAACCUACAAUCAAUUAAUGGCAGCCCAGAUCCUCAUCUCAAGAACUCCAGUCUCUAUACUGUUUCUUUAAUGAACGUUAGAAGCAAGGCUUGUUUUUUCAUUACUGAAUAAAACAGAGCUCUAUUAGGCUUUUGGAUUGAUCUUGUUUCCCAGCCUUCUUAUUUGUAAUGUUUUUUUGACAGAUGUGCUCAGGCUAUUCUCGUUGUGAGAAGAAACAGGGAACAGCAUCAGAUGAACUUGUUGUCAGGUUAUUAUUUGUCAACAAGAUCAAGCAAAGCCCUGCUCUCCUGGAGAAAUCGAAUUUCCCCACCAGCCAGGCUGAAUACUUCCAGCCAGUAUCCUGCCACUUCCCAGCAGACCUGUUCUUAGGUUCACAAAAGUUCCUUCGGUCUCCAUCAAACUCUCAUAUACUCAUGAGGCAUACUUACACAUCCCAUUCCCCAAAUAAUAUUCAGAUUUAAAAAAACAAAAAUCUAUCCAAAGCAUGAAAUUACAUUCAGUGGUGUGUAGCGAUAGGACAAGGAGUAAUGGCCUAAAAACUUGAACAUAGGGAGUUCCAUACAAACAUGCAGAAGAACUUCUCUACAGUAAGAAUGAUGGAAGACUGGAACAGGCUGCCCAGAGAGGUUGUGGAGUCUCCUUUUAUGGAGAUAUUCAGGACCCAUCUGGACGCCUACCUGUGUGACCUACUGUAGGGUACCUCCUUUGGCAGGGGGUUGGACUUGAUAUCUCUUAAGGUUCCUUUCAACCCCUGUGAUUCUAUGAUUCCCAAGUAUUUGUCUUUAGUGACUUUUAGAAAAAAGGCCUCUUCUCUGCUCUGUACAUCCCUGCUAAUGAGCACAAGCAUCAAGAAGUAGAGCAGUGACCAUGCUACUUGCCCAACUGAUUGCUAUUGCUAAUGAACCACCCUGAUUAAAAGCUGUUCUCGUCAGUCCACAGUGGUGUUCUGAAGGGAGAUCCUGUAGUAAAUGAGAUCAUCAGUGAAAUGAUCAUUAGUGUGUGUAGAUUGUUAAAACCUUCCUGAAAACUGCUAUAAUGAAGCUAGAGUUGAAAGUACUUUUAAUUAAUUUUGGGUCAAAUAAUCCUUGGGAUGUGAAAGUGAUCUGUCACUAUCCCCCCAAAAUUAUACAUCGAAGAAAAGAGCAAGAGGAAUGUCAGGACUGAUUAGAUAACAACUGGAUGGAGGUAAUUAGUUGCUCAACUUCCAAGGAAAAGGUGGCAGAGAGCUCUGUGAAUGUGAGCGUGCAGAAGGCACACAAACAGCCCACGGCCUGCCUCUGCUCAGGGUCCCACAGACCUGAUGGUUCAGGGCAAUGUGAGUGCCAUUUUGGGUGCCAGGUGACUCCCAGGGACUUGGAUUGCCCCCCAGCCCCUUCCAUUGACAAAAGAGAGCUAGGCAAAAGAGGCAGCUAACGAGUUCCAUAGGAGUGUAAGGGAGAGACAUACAAAGAGCAGAGACUAAUACUGACCUUACAUUCCUCCAGUUUAGCCAACACAGUCCCACCUUUGCCAUGUGGGUGGCAUGUGAUGAGUUGGUGUGGGCUCCAGAAAAGCUCCUUGAGCACCACAUAUGUCUGAGAUCUGAGGGAAGUGUAAUUAAAAGCACAGAUUUUGACACAUCUGAAGGAAACAGGUAAUUGUAUGUGCUGAGAUCACCCCUGGGUUACGACAGAGGAGCCUACUAGCCUGCAUGAAUGAUCAGCAGAGCAUUGUACUGAAGAAUGAGAAAACAGUGUGUGAGUCCCCUUGCCUCAAAGGAGGCACCUCUAUCCUGCAGUCCUUUACUCAGGUAACCAAUCAGUCCUUCCAGUUCUGCAGAACAGCAGGAAUGGCAAGGAACUGGCCUUGCACUAAUUAUCUGGAUAUGUUAACACAUUCCCUGCCAUGACUUGGUAUUGAAGGAAGCCUUUAAGACCUUCAGAACUGCAUCUAUGUACCAGAUGCUUGGUUAAUGAGGCCUUCAAGAAACCCAGCUAACAGUCAUUAAACAGAAAACACAAGAUUAACAUUUAAGAGCAUCAAUUACUGAUUUACUACUUUAACAAGCUGUUAAUAAAUCAGAAAUUCCCAAUGCUUUUCUCUGUGUUUUUUUUUUUUUUUUUU
This is a long non-coding RNA of Gallus gallus (chicken), 17428 nucleotides long. NCBI's taxonomy places the organism in Eukaryota, Metazoa, Chordata, Aves, Galliformes, Phasianidae. The record is from Ensembl.